GAUGAACGCUAGCUACAGGCUUAACACAUGCAAGUCGAGGGGCAGCGGGAUUGAAGCUUGCUUCAUUGCCGGCGACCGGCGCACGGGUGAGUAACGCGUAUCCAACCUUCCGUACACUCAGGGAUAGCCUUUCGAAAGAAAGAUUAAUACCUGAUGGUAUCUUAAGCACACAUGUAAUUAAGAUUAAAGAUUUAUCGGUGUACGAUGGGGAUGCGUUCCAUUAGGUAGUAGGCGGGGUAACGGCCCACCUAGCCAACGAUGGAUAGGGGUUCUGAGAGGAAGGUCCCCCACAUUGGAACUGAGACACGGUCCAAACUCCUACGGGAGGCAGCAGUGAGGAAUAUUGGUCAAUGGACGAGAGUCUGAACCAGCCAAGUAGCGUGAAGGAUGAAGGUCCUACGGAUUGUAAACUUCUUUUAUAAGGGAAUAAACCCUCCCACGUGUGGGAGCUUGUAUGUACCUUAUGAAUAAGCAUCGGCUAACUCCGUG
Molecule: ribosomal RNA, 489 nt
Filed under: uncultured bacterium
Lineage: Bacteria
Description: bacterial SSU rRNA
Rfam family: Bacterial small subunit ribosomal RNA
Source: RNAcentral